ACAUGCAUCACCCGGAGAUCUUGUUAAAAUGUAGAUUCCAAUGUUUGUGGAGUUGAGUCUGAGAUUUGGCAUUUCUAACAAGUUACCAGGUGAAGCCUAA
RNAcentral lists this microRNA precursor (100 nucleotides) under Marmota monax (woodchuck). The record is from RNAcentral. Lineage: Eukaryota; Metazoa; Chordata; Mammalia; Rodentia; Sciuridae.